ACAUGGCCCAAAUGUACCAUUUUGAGUAACUUAAAUCUUCGGUUUCGUGUGGAUGAUCAGCCAAAACAUAUAAAAAUAUAUUUGUUUUAGCAGUUACCCGCCUACGUGUGGACAAGGCUUCAGUGUUCAAGGUACGUGUGGAUGAUUAUGAAUACGUGCUUUUUGCUACUUCCGCCACUUUCAAGUGUUUUGGUUGCGGUGCUGACGGGCAUUUGGUGAAAGCCCGUCCGGACCGCGCCGGUUCAGCCUCGGGGGGCGUGGCUGUGCUGCGACAGGUAGUGUGGUGGACGCUCAGCGUGAGCAGGGCGCUCAUCGUCUCCCGUGGACCUGCCGGAUGUGGGUGGGUCUGUGGUAGAUGCCGUUGCUAUGGCUGUGUCCAAAUUCAGGUGCUGCGACCUCCCGAGGCUGUGGCCUUCGCGAUCUCCGAUGUCCGGGUCCUUCGUUAGCGGGUAAGACCGGAUGUUAAGUACAGUGAAUUUGGACGGUCUAGCCUUCAUAAUUCCCGCCGUUAAUCGGCUAAUGUCCUGUAGCCUAGCUUGAAAUCCUGAGUUUAUCGCGUGUUUGGAACCAUGAUGGAGAUCAAAAUGAUUCUGUUUUAUCUCCUUUAACUGCUGCUUUUGGAGGAGUUGGAGCAAAUGUAUCGCCGUCGGAGAUAUUUGCUCCUUUUCCGGCUGAGACAAAACGAUGCGCAGGUACUGUAUUAAAAUAAAUGUAAAAAAAAAACAAAAAAAAAACAAGAAGCUAUUUUACUUAUUAGCUUUAGCUAGUUUAUUGGAUGUAUUUAUUUAGCAGCUACAUUACAGGUAAUAAACUAUACAAUUACUGACAAAAUUGUGUGGGUUUGAAACAUUUUUGUAACAAUGAUCCUUUUUAUUUAUUGUUUCACAAAAGUGAUCAGAGUAAAUCAGAUUGUAGGUACCUAGCCUCUUUGUAGCAUGAAAAUAUGUGCAAGAUAAUAUUUUAUUUUUCUAUUAAUCAGAUUAAAAUAGUGUUAAAUGUUUAUUUUAUCUUCUGACUUAAGUGUUAUGCAUACAUUAUUUUUUUAACAAUUACUACUCUUUUUUUAAAUCAGUAAAAUUGGUAUUUAAGUAUUUUGCCUUUCUCAUGUUCACCCAAGUAUGAUGAUUUUCUAUAGUGUAAAAAAAAAAAACAUAAAACCACAUAUUUUCACUGAAAAUGUAUUUCUUUUUUAUUUCUUUUUAACUAGACUACACCACUCUACUGCAAAGUGAACCUUAGUCUCCCAAUCCUGGAGCGUUUUUUCAACAACGAAGACCAAAAACCAGACUUCCGGCUGAGCAGGAACUCUCUUACAAUCCUCCUGAACCUCCUUGAUCAGGAUCGGCGACAUGGAUGGGGUGCUGUAAUUGAGACCCUGGUUUUUCUUUUCUGGUUGGCGAGCGGAGCAUCCUACAGGGUGGUCUCCAGAGUGGUUGGGAUGCCCCCGUCCCACUGUCCACUGCAUCGUCGACAGACUCACAGAGGAGGUGGUGGCCAUCCGCCAUAAGGUCAUUCACCUUCCGAAAACCCCCGGGGACCUGGAGGUGGUGUCCCGUGGGUUUGCAGGGCUGGCACGGCACAGAGCUUUCCUCAAAGCUGCAGGUGCCAUCGACGGAUGCCACAUCAGAAUCAAGCCUCCUAGCGGCCCCGAUGGACACUGCUACAGAAACAGAAAACUGUUCCCCUCCAUCAUCCUGCAGGCUGUGUGUGACCAUCGGGCUGCUUCAUCGACACCUAUGUGGGCUGGCCUGGGUCGGUGCAUGACUUGAGGGUGCUCCGCCACAGCCCACUAUACAGGCAGACGGUCUACCCUCCUCCAGGGCACUUCAUCCUAGCAGAUGGUGGAUACCCGUGUCUCCAACGCCCACUCCCCCUCAUCACUCCCUACAAGCGUGUGAACGAAGGUGUUGCAGCCCAGCGCUUCAACAGUCAUCAUUCCAGGGCACGCUCGAUUAUAGAGCGUGCUUUUGGAAUGAUGAAGACAAGAUUCAGGGCAAUCUUCCUGCAAGCGCUGGAGGUGCAUCACACCUUUAUACCUCACGUUGUCACAGCUUGUGCCAUCCUCCAUAACAUCUGCCUUUGUGCUGGCGAUGCUGUGGCCCCAGAGGAUGAGCCAGAGGAAGAUGUGGGAGAUGAUGAGGGGGAGCCUGGUUUGGAGGCAAGCAGCGGUGCUCUCUGGCGGGACCAACUUUCUGCUGAGGUUUCUGCCCUGGAGGAGGUACCACCAGACCAUGAUUACUGGUUAACAGGUAAUUAAAGAAGACAGUUAUUUAUCAAGUUUUUCUUUUUAAAUUAAAUAAUAUUAAGAUUGCUCAUGUAGUAGCUCAUUUCUGUAUUAAUGGAUUAUUUUUGGUCAUGCAGCAUCCGUCGACAGCCAGCCCUGCAAACCCUGAAGAUGGACGAUGCAGUGGACAGUUGAGAGGCAUCCUGAAACUCCAGACCCCCUGCAAGAUGUUCCAGUUGGCACCUAGAAAGUUCCAGUCCCGGGUCUCAGUUGAAGCCCCCCAUCCAUGUCGACCAUCUUUGUAAAUAGUUAUUAAUAAAAGUGUUAAAAUGAAUUCAUGACGACUGUUUUUUUGGAUUUAUUCCUUUAUUUAUAUUAUCAAUUUCUUAAACAUUUCAACACAACAACUGAAAAGUCUGUCGAAGGUCUCCCUCCUCUCUCUUGAUCUUUGCUCUUCUGCCUCUCUCUGCUGCCUCAUGUUCUCUCUGAAUAAUUCUAGAAGUUCGUCACCGUCCCUUCUUCUUUUUCUUACAGCUGGUGGCUCUCUCCUUUCUUCCUCUCUGUCUUCAUUUUGCUCUCUUUCACCCACUGCUGUACUUGUCCCUGGAGUUUCCUCACGGAGAGAGGAAAUUAGGACAGGAGGAGUGGUGGAAGGUCUCUGUCCUACUACAUCAUCCAUGAGGUCAAACCAGGGCCAAGUAGCAGCAGUGGGCUUCCCACCAACCCCCUCUCCUGAUCCUGGAUUACAAUCCUAAACACACACAAAAAUCACGACAUUUGGAAAGAAAAGAUACAAACCUUUUAUUACAUGUAUAUUUAACGUGUAUCAAACAUAUAUUCUUCACCACAUAUCAACAUACUUUGUAUUUUUUCUUCAGGUUGUCCCACUUUUUCUUCGCUUGCAUGGGGGAAACGUUCUCCUGAAGUCCCAGUUUCUCCAGGAUAGUCCUGAAAAAAAAACACCAGAGGGUGGGAUAACGGGGUUACUCUCAAAAAACGUUUCACAUCAAUAAAUAACAGGCACUUAUGUCUAAUGAGAGAAAAAAAAAAAAGUUGUUUUACCUCCAUGCUACUGCUGCGGAAUAUUUCGCGCCGGUAAAAAGGUGGUCAUGUUCCCUCCUAAGCUUUAUUAAAGCUUUGGUCUGCUCUUUGGUCCCUAAAAAGAUAUGAAAUUAAGCUUGUUUUUUUUUUUCUUUAAAAAAUUAAAUUACAUAUCCGUAAAAAAACAAAAACCCAUGAACAAUUGGGAAACCGCGCCAGAAUCUAGUAUAUGACCCGAAAGUGUUAAAAAAUGACUUUUAUUGUAAUAUUUAAGAUCAAAAUAUGCUUUACAUGCUUUAUUUAAUUUUAUAAACCAUAAACUUAUCAGAUUAAAGUUUUCACUUAAAUUUAAAAGUGAAAUUUUCACCGACUCCGCGUCCCGCAUCAACGUCCGCCAUUGUUGCCAGAAAAAAUCUUCGGGGCCGACCGCAAUGCAUCUUGGGAUACGAUCAGCAUAGCAGGAUACACCAGAACGAUCCUUCGAUUCAAGAUGACGUUCUGAUCGGUCCUUCCUGCAACGCUCUGCACCCACUUGAGUUAAAAAACUUGUGAAAUACUCUUUCAAAACUGUCCUUUGUUUACUUUACUCGAAUUUUCGAACAUUUCCAAAGAUUUUGAGGCCAACAUGGUUAAAAAGCGUGACCAUUCGGCUGUGAUUGACUCAGAGGAUUUUCGUGCGCGAGAUGGCGCGCUAGCUAGCGGCGGCCACGACUACUCGAGAGACCCAAACGCCAUGGAGUCUGGUGACUUUGAAGAGGAAUUCCCGCCGCUUCCUUUAACUCCAAGUAAGCCACCGGUGCCAAAAAAGAAACCUCAAAAUCCUGCCCUCUCAAAUGGCGACAUUAGUACGCAGCUUGCUAACUUGACCAAGUUAAUUAACAACAGGUCGGAUGCUAUUGAAGAUAAAAUAGUUGGCCUUAACAACAAAGUGGAUGCUGUGGCAAAAGACCUGACGGGUGUUACCUUGAAGAUGGCUGCUCUUGAGCAACGGAUGGAUUCUCUUGAGACGCCAGUUAAACUCUUACAGAAGUGAAUGGAUGAUUUUGAAUCUUACUCAAGAAAAUUCAAUCUAAAGCUUGUGGGAGUUCCUGAAACGGAAAAGGAAGACAUCCGCCAUGUUGUUAUCAAGAUCUGUCAGAUCGUCCUACCAUCAUGGAAAGAAAAGUUGGUGGAUGCUGUGGAUAGUGUUCAUCGGCUUGGGAACAUGAGACAGCCCAUGGAGUUUUAUGUUUUUCACAAAGAAAUGGUUUUGUAUAUUAAAAAUAUUGAAUCCUGUACCCAUGCAAAAGCUGUUAAAACAGUUGAAGCCUGGAACUGUUUGACAUCUUAAUUUUAUAUAUAUAUAUAUAUUUUAAUCUUUAUUAUUAUUUAUUUAUUUUAUUUUUUUCCUUUCUUUUUCCUUCCUUUUGAUACCCCCUGGCAAGUUCAAAUUCAUUAUCUGUAAUUCUCAAUAUUGGCUCAUUACAUGGAAUGGAAUGUAAUGUGUGAUUCUUUGUAUGCGCAACAUUUGGUAAUAAAAAAAAAACAAAA
Molecule: long non-coding RNA, 4795 nt
Organism: Oryzias melastigma (Indian medaka)
Lineage: Eukaryota; Metazoa; Chordata; Actinopteri; Beloniformes; Adrianichthyidae
Exons: 2
Source: RefSeq, a predicted model, not a curated record